UACGUAGGUGGCAAGCGUUGUCCGGAUUUACUGGGUGUAAAGGGCGUGUAGCCGGGCUGACAAGUCAGAUGUGAAAUUCCGGGGCUCAACCCCGGACCUGCAUUUGAAACUGUUGGUCUUGAGUAUCGGAGAGGCAGGCGGAAUUCCUAGUGUAGCGGUGAAAUGCGUAGAUAUUAGGAGGAACACCAGUGGCGAAGGCGGCCUGCUGGACGACAACUGACGGUGAGGCGCGAAAGCGAGGGGAGCAAACAGG
Molecule: ribosomal RNA, 253 nt
Filed under: uncultured bacterium
Lineage: Bacteria
Description: partial 16S ribosomal RNA
Rfam family: Bacterial small subunit ribosomal RNA
Source: RNAcentral